GAAAAGUUUCAUCAUGGCGGGAGGGAAGAUGAAGAAAGAUAAGCCUCAGCGAGGGUCAUCAUCCGCUGCCUCAAAUCCUCACUUCCAGGGAGGGAUAUCGUUCCACAAGUCGAAGGGUCAGCACAUUCUGAAAAAUCCUCUACUGGUUGAUUCUAUUGUCCAAAAAUCCGGAAUUAAAUCUACCGAUGUUAUCCUCGAAAUUGGUCCUGGUACCGGUAAUCUUACUAAGAAGCUUCUAGAAGCUGGAAAGUCUGUUAUUGCUGUUGAACUUGAUCCUCGUAUGGUUCUCGAGUUGCAACGAAGGUUUCAAGGAACUCCUUUAUCCAAUCGACUGAAGGUUAUACAAGGGGAUGUUCUUAAGUGUGAUCUCCCUUACUUCGAUAUUUGUGUGGCUAACAUCCCAUAUCAAAUAUCAUCUCCUCUCACCUUCAAAUUAUUGGCUCAUAGGCCUUUAUUCAGAGCUGCAGUAAUAAUGUUCCAGAGAGAAUUUGCUAUGAGACUUGUUGCUCAACCUGGUGACACUCUUUAUUGCCGCCUUUCUGUGAACACACAGCUGUUGGCCCGAGUAUCACACUUAUUGAAG
This 583-nucleotide unclassified non-coding RNA is filed under the name Hevea brasiliensis (rubber tree). The record is from RNAcentral. Lineage: Eukaryota; Viridiplantae; Streptophyta; Magnoliopsida; Malpighiales; Euphorbiaceae.